Dermacentor silvarum is the source of this 4830-nucleotide long non-coding RNA. RefSeq lists it as uncharacterized. The record is from RefSeq and is a predicted model, not a curated record. The transcript is spliced from 3 exons. Lineage: Eukaryota; Metazoa; Arthropoda; Arachnida; Ixodida; Ixodidae.
AUAUCCAAUCAGCACCAAAAUCUACACAUUUGCGGCCAUCAAUUCAUGGCGGAGGAUUGCUACCACAAUAGAGAGUUCUAGCAUGUCUGGUAUUCUGGUAAAUGCAGGCGGACUGGGCGUUACCAGUUUGGUGGAGGCGCAAGCGUGAGUAGCCUGCAGGGUGCAGCAUCUGGUUGCACAGAGCUCAAUCAGAGAAACACAGAGCUAAUAUAGUCACGUGGAUUCUAAGUGGCUGCUGGUGUAAAUUUUUGGCAGCAGUGUAAUCAUAAGCACGUCUUUUUAGAUGUAUUACACUUGGUUACAGCAAUAUUGGCUAUGGUUAAGCUCUGCGCCACUAGGUGGCUGCACUGUGCAGGCCUCUCAUGUUUAUGCUAAAGCAUCAUGGAGGGGCUUUAUGCCUCCGCCCAUCCGUUGAAAUGCCCAGCUCGCCUGCAUUUACCGGAACACCGGUCAUGCUCGGCUCUACAACUGAACACUCGCAACGCAUGCUGCUUGGAUAGCUAUCACUGAGGACCGAUGGCCAGGUGGCUAGCGGAGAGGUUGGUGAGGCUUUGCGUGCUGGAUCCAAGACACCGAAAGUAGACACGUCACAUCAUGAUACAGAGCCAGUGAAGGCAGAGCUUAGCCCCGAUUGCUUGGCAAAUGAGUUGAGAAAAAGCAUGGCUACGGAGGAGGCUAACUUGUAAUUGUCCAUUUCUCUCUUAAUAUAAGACACUUCACUUGAAUUGUGGCGCAAAUGUUUAACUGUAGCUAUACCUUAUGGGUCUACAAAAUUUGUAGAUGAUGUAUGAUGUCAUACAUUGGUGUCUAUACCCUUUAAAGAUGUAAGGUGGGCAUAAUAUGAACUAUCAUUACUUACAACUUGAGUGUGGCUGCAAACAUUGCAUCAGGCUACUUUGUUGGUAUUGGUUUAACCCUUUUAUGCCACUGUUUUUUUCCAGAAAACACCAAAAUUUCCGCAAAUUUUCUUGACUGAUUUAUUGUGAACAGUGUUCUUUACUGCACGGGGGUAAGAGUCCUGCAUUAAUUGUACCAUCUUGUGCCAGCCCUGCACCAAAACACAAAGGUCGAAUGAAAUUGCUAAUUUUGAGACUUCAUUCAGGAUGUGCACAUUCAGUGGCAAUCACACAGCCAUAGCCAUGCAUUGUCUAGCGUUUAGGCCUGGAAUCCAAGCCUAAGCAAUCCAUUUCAGCGUCAGUGUCUUCUAUUUCAGCGUCAGAUUCAGGUGGUACCUUGCAACUUGGCCGCAAGGAAAUGAAAAUAGUUUUGUGCUACAAUUAGAGUUGGGAGAAUUUAGACAAGAACAUUGCUAAAAUUUCCACAAAAUCCACACGUAAGCCACCAAGAAACCGGGACAGUACUUGAAGCACCAAAAUGCAUUGUUUUUAGUAGCAUCAAUAUGUUGAUCACGCUCUGGCCAGCAAAACAUAUGCAGCUUUAUUCCCUACCAUUCAAAUAAAAUGUUAAGUUUAUCACAAGAUGUUGAGCUUAACUUGCUUUUUCUCCUCUAAGAUAAUCUUGAAGUUGGAUGAAGAACAAGAGCUGUUCUAAAUGAAUACUUGCCAAUGGUUCUCAAGGACACAUACAUGUGUCCGCACAUAUAAAGCUAAAGCAUAUAGAUUAAACUCGGAGGGAAGGAGCUAAGGAGUCUGAAAGGAACCCACACAAAUGCUUCCUUUGUUUCUUGCAUGGGCUCAGCAUAUGCAGCUUUGUGGGACUUUGCCAGACAGGUAUUGAAUGACUUCACACCUGGAUAUAUUAGAACCCUGUGCAGCAUACACUACAGUACACACGAGACAAAAAAUACUGCAUGCCAAGUGGCAACGUCCGGAUGGAUUUACGGCAAACCUGUGACAUUGCGCGAGUGAAUGCCCGAAAUGAAAAUACUAAAUGCGAUAAAGUCAACCUUUAAUUUAUUUAAGGGGGGACACGGAGCAAAUAAUUCCGAUUUAUGGCCAAAAAAAAAAUGUGUUUCCAGAUUAUAACAUUUUCAGGUUCCUUUACUAUCUGAGAAUGUGCCGAAAAUUUUUUACCCUCAUCAGCGCAGUAGAAAUGCUCAAAAUAGGGUUUUUUCAAAAGCCGGUGACUCCGCCCAAACAAAAAUGUCCCGAUUUCCUGCAGCUUCGUCGUGCUCGCGAACUGGCCACAGUUCACUCGUACGUAACUGCAGGGGGCAAGGUGGAAUACCACCAGCUGACCACUGCUCGAGGUGAUAGCAGCCAUGGACAGUGUGAAAAGAAGGCAGCGGUCCUUGUUCCUUUUUCUUUGUUUUUUUAACACCGAAGCUGUUUAAGCUAGCCGUAAAAAGUAUGGUGUUUACAGAAAGCUAGCCGCGCCGUAGCCAUGGCACCCAGCGACGCCGCAGCUGCUAGAACACCUGGCGCAACCUACCGCCUGUGUACUGCACACGCGCCGACAGCGAGCAAUGCUAUGCAAGCCCGUGCGCGGCGGCACUCGAUUAGAUGCAGCCAUGGGACGUUUCUCGUGUUCGCGCCAGGGAAACGCGGGUGGCAUCGGCAGCAGCUCGAUGACACUGCGUGCAACCGGUUUCCGCCGCCGUGCCGAGUUCUGCGCAUGCGCCAUGAUAACGAUUGGAUCUGUGCAUGCGCUGACCUUGAGGCAACAGUUAUGUAAGCAUGUGCGCGGCGGCGCUCGAUCAGUGGAAGCCAUGGGAUGCCCAAAGAUGGUUCGUACUCCCGAAGAGGAGGCCGCGCUUUGCAAAGCAAGGCUCACUGCUAAGCGGUAGAGGCAGCGGCAACCUAGCAUCAGCCAAGUUGCAACCUAGUAUCAGCCAUAAUAAGCCCCUACGAUCGCCCAACUUCGCUGUUUCAAGCCUUGCAUGGCCGAGUGCAAGCUUAAGCCUUUUUUUUUUUUAAUAUCUGCCGCAACUUUUUCGCGCCAUAUCGCCCAAGGCCCAUUUUGCACCAUUUCGCUCGAACCGAAGCUCCGCUUUUGGAUACCUUCUUUCGCUUUUCUAUGCACUGGUUAUCUGAUCGCUUGGCAAUUUUUUCCAGGCAGUGCUUAGAAGCAGCAGCACCAUGCAGUGCUUGUCACGGGCAAAAGCCAGGCACUUGGCAGCUCAAAAGUGGCCAGGAAAAAGAGAAAGCUUGCAGCUAAUGUCACGGAACAAAGCUGAAUUGAAGAAGGCCCAACAUAUGUUGCAGGAGAAUUUUAGUUACGAUAGAUGCAUCUUGAAUGAGGUGAUGCGCUUAAGGACUUUUGGAACAGUUUUUAUCUUCUUUUUCAUAAAAGUUUGUGAUUGCAAAAAAAAAAUCUACCGUAACUUGCACUGGAGGCGCAAUGUUAAAGAGACAGCGGAGCUGAUGGGCACCCAGCUAGUCCUGGCUUUUGGGCUAGGCUAAGCGCUACCAAGCCAUCCCCAGCAUUUUCCGGAAUUUAUUGAUUAUUGAUCGAUUACCGGUUAGCUAUUAAUAGAUUGGCUAUCGCAAGGUGAAAAGUAAUAAUGUGGACCAUCACGUUUGUUGACGUGCAGUGCGGUGAGAAAGGACUCGAAGGCAAUAUUGGGGGCGGGUUGCACAGGCGGACAUAUAAUUCACACUAUUCUCUUACAUAGAAACAAGUAAAAUUCCCUAGUACAGGUUAUCUGCUAGCGUAUGAAGUCUUACGAUGCGGCAGACUACUAAGUUUCACUCACUCGCCCAAUAACCCGCAAAGUCCGGGCGUCGCAGCAGGCCCCAGUGGUCGCUCACGUGUGGUCGGAACCUUUAUUGACAUGCCGUAUGCGGCGGAGGCGGCUAGGGUAGGCAGUGGUGGUGGCACGGCGACAGCCACUUGGUUGAUGGCUCGGGAUUCCGACGCCGGAACUACGAGAGCAUCAAACUCCCCAGAGCACAGGAACUGCAGGAUCUCGGGAACCGGCCAGGCACGGGACAUGGGCAGGGACUCUGUUCGGUGGCUUGCGACCCGUCACGAGGCUGCCCAGCGGUACACCCGGGUAGCCCUUACGGGACUCCUUCCACAAACCUCGCUCGGCCCUCGUUUGAUCUGCCCUCGUGGCCGCAGCUGCCCGUUCGCUCGUGUCUUCUUCUUUUUUUUUUUCUGCCACCAACCUUUUUUCUUUCAGUCUUUGAUUACGAAAGCUCAUUCAAAAGACACUUAUUAUACAUGCGAAGCUAAUGGGCACAAGUCACACCACAUGUUUUGGGCAUUCCGGAGAAUUGCAUGCGUUGCAGGACGAACUAGAGAAUUGGUUAGUCUAGGCGUGGGCCACCAUCGCGUUUACAAUUGUUGCUGAGUCGUUUGAUAUAUGCAGAAUAUCAAACACAAUAGACCAUACAGAGGACAUGUUAUGGUUCAUAGACAGCAAUAAAGUUCUGACCGAGAGGGAUGACUGUGGACAUAAAAGAGUAAAUAAAUUUCCAUUCUGUGAAGGUAAAGUGCGCUGGUUUUGUAUUUUUUGUACCAAAGCAACUUACUGUAAUUUCUACAUUAGUUUUAAACUUUGAUGCCAUAUAAAGUGGUGGCAUGUUUAAUUUGGCGUCAUUUUAGAGCAAACACUGUCAAAUGAAUCAGCGAUGUGUCUGCAUUUUUUCACCUGUUUAAUUAUUCGACUUGCCAAAUAAUUCGAUCAGUUUUGUCCGUCCCAUCGGAGUCAGAUUAUCAAAAGUCGACUGUACGAUGUUGGUCUCUUGCUAUAACAUGCAUCAUGUCUGAAUCUAUCGUACCAAGAAACACUACUCCUUGCCAGACACGGUCACUGUGGGAGCACAUGAGAUGACUGCCUCCUCAACCUCUUUGAGAAAGUGGCUGCACAAUUUCCUUAAAGGAAUUUCACACACUGCCUUAAACAUAACGAGAACCUCACUUUCU